GACGAACGCUGGCGGCGUGCUUAACACAUGCAAGUCGAACGGACCCUUCGGGGUUAGUGGCGGACGGGUGAGUAACACGUGGGAACGUGCCCUUUGGUUCGGAAUAGCUCCUGGAAACGGGUGGUAAUGCCGAAUGUGCCCUUCGGGGGAAAGAUUUAUCGCCAUUGGAGCGGCCCGCGUCUGAUUAGCUAGUUGGUAGUGUAACGGACUACCAAGGCGACGAUCAGUAGCUGGUCUGAGAGGAUGAUCAGCCACAUUGGGACUGAGACACGGCCCAAACUCCUACGGGAGGCAGCAGUGGGGAAUCUUGCGCAAUGGGCGAAAGCCUGACGCAGCCAUGCCGCGUGAAUGAUGAAGGUCUUAGGAUUGUAAAAUUCUUUCACCGGGGACGAUAAUGACGGUACCCGGAGAAGAAGCCCCGGCUAACUUCGUGCCAGCAGCCGCGGUAA
This 449-nucleotide ribosomal RNA is filed under the name uncultured bacterium. RNAcentral's name for it is "partial 16S ribosomal RNA". It matches the Rfam family "Bacterial small subunit ribosomal RNA", at positions 28 to 523 of the family's 1533-position model. The record is from RNAcentral.